RNAcentral lists this microRNA (20 nucleotides) under Ciona intestinalis (vase tunicate). RNAcentral's name for it is "cin-miR-4001i-3p". Lineage: Eukaryota; Metazoa; Chordata; Ascidiacea; Phlebobranchia; Cionidae. The record is from miRBase by way of RNAcentral.
CCUGUCCCCGGGCAUUCCGA